UAGAGUUUGAUCCUGGCUCAGGACGAACGCUGGCGGCGUGCCUAAUACAUGCAAGUUGAGCGCUGAAGGUUGGUACUUGUACCGACUGGAUGAGCAGCGAACGGGUGAGUAACGCGUGGGGAAUCUGCCUUUGAGCGGGGGACAACAUUUGGAAACGAAUGCUAAUACCGCAUAAAAACUUUAAACACAAGUUUUAAGUUUGAAAGAUGCAAUUGCAUCACUCAAAGAUGAUCCCGCGUUGUAUUAGCUAGUUGGUGAGGUAAAGGCUCACCAAGGCGAUGAUACAUAGCCGACCUGAGAGGGUGAUCGGCCACAUUGGGACUGAGACACGGCCCAAACUCCUACGGGAGGCAGCAGUAGGGAAUCUUCGGCAAUGGACGAAAGUCUGACCGAGCAACGCCGCGUGAGUGAAGAAGGUUUUCGGAUCGUAAAACUCUGUUGGUAGAGAAGAACGUUGGUGAGAGUGGAAAGCUCAUCAAGUGACGGUAACUACCCAGAAAGGGACGGCUAACUACGUGCCAGCAGCCGCGGUAAUACGUAGGUCCCGAGCGUUGUCCGGAUUUAUUGGGCGUAAAGCGAGCGCAGGUGGUUUAUUAAGUCUGGUGUAAAAGGCAGUGGCUCAACCAUUGUAUGCAUUGGAAACUGGUAGACUUGAGUGCAGGAGAGGAGAGUGGAAUUCCAUGUGUAGCGGUGAAAUGCGUAGAUAUAUGGAGGAACACCGGUGGCGAAAGCGGCUCUCUGGCCUGUAACUGACACUGAGGCUCGAAAGCGUGGGGAGCAAACAGGAUUAGAUACCCUGGUAGUCCACGCCGUAAACGAUGAGUGCUAGAUGUAGGGAGCUAUAAGUUCUCCGUAUCGCAGCUAACGCAAUAAGCACUCCGCCUGGGGAGUACGACCG
Molecule: ribosomal RNA, 898 nt
Filed under: uncultured Lactococcus sp.
Lineage: Bacteria; Bacillati; Bacillota; Bacilli; Lactobacillales; Streptococcaceae
Description: bacterial SSU rRNA
Rfam family: Bacterial small subunit ribosomal RNA
Source: RNAcentral